CGAAUGCUGACAUAAGUAACGAUAAAGCGGGUGAAAAGCCCGCUCGCCGGAAGACCAAGGGUUCCUGUCCAACGUUAAUCGGGGCAGGGUGAGUCGACCCCUAAGGCGAGGCCGAAAGGCGUAGUCGAUGGGAAACAGGUUAAUAUUCCUGUACUUGGUGUUACUGCGAAGGGGGGACGGAGAAGGCUAUGUUGGCCGGGCGACGGUUGUCCCGGUUUAAGCGUGUAGGCUGGUUUUCCAGGCAAAUCCGGAAAAUCAAGGCUGAGGCGUGAUGACGAGGCACUACGGUGCUGAAGCAACAAAUGCCCUGCUUCCAGGAAAAGCCUCUAAGCAUCAGGUAACAUCAAAUCGUACCCCAAACCGACACAGGUGGUCAGGUAGAGAAUACCAAGGCGCUUGAGAGAACUCGGGUGAAGGAACUAGGCAAAAUGGUGCCGUAACUUCGGGAGAAGGCACGCUGAUAUGUAGGUGAAGUCCCUCGCGGAUGGAGCUGAAAUCAGUCGAAGAUACCAGCUGGCUGCAACUGUUUAUUAAAAACACAGCACUGUGCAAACACGAAAGUGGACGUAUACGGUGUGACGCCUGCCCGGUGCCGGAAGGUUAAUUGAUGGGGUUAGCCGCAAGGCGAAGCUCUUGAUCGAAGCCCCGGUAAACGGCGGCCGUAACUAUAACGGUCCUAAGGUAGCGAAAUUCCUUGUCGGGUAAGUUCCGACCUGCACGAAUGGCGUAAUGAUGGCCAGGCUGUCUCCACCCGAGACUCAGUGAAAUUGAACUCGCUGUGAAGAUGCAGUGUACCCGCGGCAAGACGGAAAGACCCCGUGAACCUUUACUAUAGCUUGACACUGAACAUUGAGCCUUGAUGUGUAGGAUAGGUGGGAGGCUUGGAAGUGUGGACGCCAGUCUGCAUGGAGCCGACCUUGAAAUACCACCCUUUAAUGUUUGAUGUUCUAACGUUGACCCGUAAUCCGGGUUGCGGACAGUGUCUGGUGGGUAGUUUGACUGGGGCGGUCUCCUCCUAAAGAGUAACGGAGGAGCACGAAGGUUGGCUAAUCCUGGUCGGACAUCAGGAGGUUAGUGCAAUGGCAUAAGCCAGCUUGACUGCGAGCGUGACGGCGCGAGCAGGUGCGAAAGCAGGUCAUAGUGAUCCGGUGGUUCUGAAUGGAAGGGCCAUCGCUCAACGGAUAAAAGGUACUCCGGGGAUAACAGGCUGAUACCGCCCAAGAGUUCAUAUCGACGGCGGUGUUUGGCACCUCGAUGUCGGCUCAUCACAUCCUGGGGCUGAAGUAGGUCCCAAGGGUAUGGCUGUUCGCCAUUUAAAGUGGUACGCGAGCUGGGUUUAGAACGUCGUGAGACAGUUCGGUCCCUAUCUGCCGUGGGCGCUGGAGAACUGAGGGGGGCUGCUCCUAGUACGAGAGGACCGGAGUGGACGCAUCACUGGUGUUCGGGUUGUCAUGCCAAUGGCACUGCCCGGUAGCUAAAUGCGGAAGAGAUAAGUGCUGAAAGCAUCUAAGCACG
Molecule: ribosomal RNA, 1515 nt
Filed under: Escherichia coli
Lineage: Bacteria; Pseudomonadati; Pseudomonadota; Gammaproteobacteria; Enterobacterales; Enterobacteriaceae
Description: partial 23S ribosomal RNA
Rfam family: Bacterial large subunit ribosomal RNA
Source: RNAcentral